AUUGAACGCUGGCGGCAUGCCUUACACAUGCAAGUCGAACGGCAGCACGGGAGCAAUCCUGGUGGCGAGUGGCGAACGGGUGAGUAAAGUAUCGGAACGUGCCCAGUCGUGGGGGAUAACGUAGCGAAAGCUACGCUAAUACCGCAUACGAUCUAUGGAUGAAAGCGGGGGAUCGCAAGACCUCGCGCGAUUGGAGCGGCCGAUAUCAGAUUAGGUAGUUGGUGGGGGAAAGGCCCACCAAGCCAACGAUCUGUAGCUGGUCUGAGAGGACGGCCAGCCACACGGGAACUGGGACACGGUCUAGACUCCUACGGGAGACAGCAGUGGGGAAUUUUGGACAAUGGGCGAAAGCCUGAUCCAGCCAUUACGCGUGCAGGAUGAAGGCCCUCGGGUUGUAAACUGCUUUUGUACAGAACGAAAAGGUUUCUACUAAUACUAGGAGCUCAUGACGGUACUGUAAGAAUAAGCACCGGCUAACUACGUGCCAGCAGCCGCGGUAA
Molecule: ribosomal RNA, 500 nt
Filed under: uncultured bacterium
Lineage: Bacteria
Description: partial 16S ribosomal RNA
Rfam family: Bacterial small subunit ribosomal RNA
Source: RNAcentral